Molecule: long non-coding RNA, 1110 nt
Organism: Danaus plexippus (monarch butterfly)
Lineage: Eukaryota; Metazoa; Arthropoda; Insecta; Lepidoptera; Nymphalidae
Exons: 5
Source: RefSeq, a predicted model, not a curated record
AUUAGUUUAUCAGUUCCACUAUUUUUAGGAAUUAUUUACCAAAAAAAAUCAUUGUAAUAUGUUUACCAGCCGCGAAUUUACAAAGUUUAUUGAUAUUAAACAAUGAAUUUAUUGAAAGUAAGUUCCAAUUUAGUAAUGUAUUUUUCUAAGUUUAUUUAAGUAAGUACAUAACAUAAAAGCAAUUUAUAAUGAGUGUUAUAAGGUGCGGAACCAAACACAUAUCUGUAUAUUGUCAAUGCCAUCAGAGCACUCAUCUAGCAACGUUCCUUGGCGGAGUGCGGUUAUGGCGCUCUCAAAUUGUGAUUUAUUCGUGACAAAUGUAGAAAUAAAGGAAGUCGUGUUUUAUAUUGUGUCUUUAAUAAAACCUCUAACGGUUUAUAUUUCGCAUACAUAAUUAAAGGAAUAAGGAAUCACAAUAUUUUAAGCUUUAUCUUACAAAAUAUAAUGGAAACUCAAUCUUGAAGAAGUCAUUAAAAUGUAAACAGAAUAAAUUAUUUACUCUGCGAUGAUCUGGAAUUCAACUUAUAUAUGUUUGAUUAUUUACUCGAGGAAACAGAGCUGAUUGUCUUAAAUAAAGCCAAUAAUACCGAAGUAUUAGUGCUUGGUUCAAUACUGGUGGUACUCAGUCCACGGCCUGAGGCAAGGAUUCUUAGCUACAACAAACACAAUUACCGCGCACACUAGUAUACAACCACACACACAUACACACUUGACAUGUACGAACGUUGUCACUAAUUGUCCACAAGUCAAAGUUAUUUUCAGGGUCCACCUUGUAACAAGUGCGAUUAGUCUUCUGCUACAGCAUAAUCAUAAUAUACUUUCAACAUAUGAAUGAAUAAAAUAAAAAAGAAUGCCGUAAAUUUAUACGAACUACUAACCCAGCAGUUUUAAUAACAUUGAUACUUUAUGACAUAAAUAGUCCAUAGAGAGAGAGAGAGAGAAAUCUGGCGAAUCUUCAUCUGAAGACAAUAUAUAUACUUUUUCAUGUCGCACGUGGACUUACCAAAAAAAUUACUCAAGACUGACGCUCAAAGCUCCAGAUAAUAAUGUUUCUAUAGUUUAGAAGUUUGGGGAGAGAAAAUGGACCGAAAGCCACAUUAACAGUAUGAC